RNAcentral lists this small RNA (147 nucleotides) under Nomascus leucogenys (northern white-cheeked gibbon). RNAcentral's name for it is "7SK RNA (ENSNLEG00000025819.2)". It matches the Rfam family "7SK RNA", at positions 116 to 268 of the family's 331-position model. From Rfam's summary of the family: 7SK was discovered as an abundant small nuclear RNA in the mid-70s but a possible function has only recently been suggested. Two independent studies have found that 7SK RNA binds the CDK9/cyclin T complex (known as elongation factor P-TEFb). The record is from RNAcentral. Lineage: Eukaryota; Metazoa; Chordata; Mammalia; Primates; Hylobatidae.
UUCCUCCUGAAGCUGCGAGCUCCGUCAAAAAGGACAACCUACUCUGAGAGAGGAGGAUCGCUCUUCGAUGGAGGGUAUCUGAGUAGCUGCACUCCCGUUAGAACCUCCAAACAGGCUCUCAAGGGCUCUCUAAUUUCACGUCCCACC